Molecule: long non-coding RNA, 970 nt
Filed under: Linum usitatissimum (flax)
Lineage: Eukaryota; Viridiplantae; Streptophyta; Magnoliopsida; Malpighiales; Linaceae
Description: long non-coding RNA (LUSI_LNC005195)
Source: RNAcentral
UAAUCAAAUUGCAAUUUAAAUUUAGACAAACAAAUACUUGAUUUGGCUAGUUAACAAAGACGAACAACUUAAUCAUAUUAAACGACAUAAUAAACAAAAACAAAGACGAAUAAAGAAGAAUAUGAGUAACUAAAAUAAACUUUGCCUAUAGAUGAACAACUUUAAAGUUUGUGUCUCUCAACCUCCUCUCAAAGUUGCUCCUUAGUCGUUGUGAGAUACUUUUUCACCAGACUUUCAACCAUUUUCUUGGUCGUAGUCACCACAGCUCCUAGUUUAUUCAAGGACGAGCAUAGCUGAAUUUACUAAUUGGUCAGCUUUUUCAAUCUCUCAUCCACCAACUUCACCAGAUUCUUUUCAUCUUGAUACCGAGGUUUCUGACCUGAAAAUUACUCAACCCUCGAUGGAUUGAAGGCAUUGAGUUGAUUAUCGAUAUAGAGCAAAAAACCUGCCGGAAUCUCAACCCAGCUGUCAUGGAAACUCUUUUGUUUGCAAUCAUUUUUCAAAACUUCCCCCAAAAUCGUUCUAAACAAAACAAAAAAAACAUAUUCAAUACUCCUGAUAAAAAAAUAAAAAAAGACACUUACGACAUCCAAAUGGCUCCCAAAUUAUGUUUUAUAGGGAACUUAGCAAAAUGCCCCAUAAGCACAAAAUAACCACCUAGAAGAAUCAUAGACAAUAUUUUGAAAUAAAAAUGUGUAGGAAUUCACUGUGAUUCCCAAUUUGAUUGUUACAUAUUGAAUUUCGGAUACCACCAAUGGAUAGGUACUGACGGUAUUGGUGAGAACCGCUCAAUACCUAUCAUAAUUCGCAAUGAUCCCGAGCAUUAUAAAAUGAUGAACAAAUACCACGACGGUUUAUCCAAACACAAUAUAAGGAUUAUCGUGCUUGGUAGAACCUAUGAUCCUGAUAAAUCGAACGUGGAAAGGAAGGAUUAUAACCCCAAAAAAAUGUACUGGAUGUAGGUAAAAUG